This 100-nucleotide non-coding RNA is filed under the name Bacillus sp. (in: firmicutes). RNAcentral describes it as "Bacillus sp. SAM-I sequence". It matches the Rfam family "SAM riboswitch aptamer (S box leader)". From Rfam's summary of the family: The SAM riboswitch is found upstream of a number of genes which code for proteins involved in methionine or cysteine biosynthesis in Gram-positive bacteria. Lineage: Bacteria; Bacillati; Bacillota; Bacilli; Caryophanales; Bacillaceae. The record is from RNAcentral. RNAcentral also lists the same sequence under 1 other name.
CUCUUAUCCAGAGAGGCGGAGGGACUGGCCCUGCGAUGCCUCAGCAACAGACUGUAAAGAACUGUGCUAAUUCCAGAAGCGUAAAGCUUGAAGAUAAGAA